This 301-nucleotide ribosomal RNA is filed under the name uncultured bacterium. RNAcentral's name for it is "partial 16S ribosomal RNA". It matches the Rfam family "Bacterial small subunit ribosomal RNA", at positions 509 to 807 of the family's 1533-position model. The record is from RNAcentral.
CAGUCGCCGCGGGAAUACGUAGGGUCCGAGCGUUGUCCGGAAUUAUUGGGCGUAAAGAGCUCGUAGGCGGUCUGUCGCGUCUGCCGUGAAAUCCUCAGGCUCAACCUGAGGCGUGCGGUGGGUACGGGCAGGCUAGAGUGCGGUAGGGGAGAAUGGAACUCCUGGUGUAGCGGUGGAAUGCGCAGAUAUCAGGAAGAACACCGAUGGCGAAGGCAGUUCUCUGGGCCGUAACUGACGCUGAGGAGCGAAAGCGUGGGGAGCGAACAGGAUUAGAUACCCCCGUAGUCCCUGUCUCUUAUAC